Molecule: ribosomal RNA, 648 nt
Filed under: Salmonella enterica
Lineage: Bacteria; Pseudomonadati; Pseudomonadota; Gammaproteobacteria; Enterobacterales; Enterobacteriaceae
Also listed under: 1 other name
Description: partial 23S ribosomal RNA
Rfam family: Bacterial large subunit ribosomal RNA
Source: RNAcentral
GUGGGUAGUUUGACUGGGGCGGUCUCCUCCUAAAGAGUAACGGAGGAGCACGAAGGUUGGCUAAUCCUGGUCGGACAUCAGGAGGUUAGUGCAAUGGCAUAAGCCAGCUUGACUGCGAGCGUGACGGCGCGAGCAGGUGCGAAAGCAGGUCAUAGUGAUCCGGUGGUUCUGAAUGGAAGGGCCAUCGCUCAACGGAUAAAAGGUACUCCGGGGAUAACAGGCUGAUACCGCCCAAGAGUUCAUAUCGACGGCGGUGUUUGGCACCUCGAUGUCGGCUCAUCACAUCCUGGGGCUGAAGUAGGUCCCAAGGGUAUGGCUGUUCGCCAUUUAAAGUGGUACGCGAGCUGGGUUUAGAACGUCGUGAGACAGUUCGGUCCCUAUCUGCCGUGGGCGCUGGAGAACUGAGGGGGGCUGCUCCUAGUACGAGAGGACCGGAGUGGACGCAUCACUGGUGUUCGGGUUGUCAUGCCAAUGGCACUGCCCGGUAGCUAAAUGCGGAAGAGAUAAGUGCUGAAAGCAUCUAAGCACGAAACUUGCCCCGAGAUGAGUUCUCCCUGAGACUUAAAGUCUCCUGAAGGAACGUUGAAGACGACGACGUUGAUAGGCCGGGUGUGUAAGCGCAGCGAUGCGUUGAGCUAACCGGUACUA